RNAcentral lists this ribosomal RNA (253 nucleotides) under uncultured bacterium. RNAcentral's name for it is "partial 16S ribosomal RNA". It matches the Rfam family "Bacterial small subunit ribosomal RNA", at positions 524 to 776 of the family's 1533-position model. The record is from RNAcentral.
UACAGAGGUCUCAAGCGUUGUUCGGAUUCAUUGGGCGUAAAGGGUGCGUAGGCGGCGCGGUAAGUCGGGUGUGAAAUCUCGGAGCUCAACUCCGAAAUUGCACUGGAUACUGCUCUGCUUGAGGGUUGGAGAGGAGAUCGGAAUUCACGGUGUAGCAGUGAAAUGCGUAGAUAUCGUGAGGAAGACCAGUGGCGAAGGCGGAUCUCUGGACGAAUCCUGACGCUGAGGCGCGAAGGCUAGGGGAGCAAACGGG